Molecule: ribosomal RNA, 456 nt
Filed under: uncultured bacterium
Lineage: Bacteria
Description: bacterial SSU rRNA
Rfam family: Bacterial small subunit ribosomal RNA
Source: RNAcentral
CAUAACGAAAGCUUGCUUUGUUGAUGGCGACCGGCGCACGGGUGAGUAACGCGUAUCCAACCUUCCCUAUACUAGAGAAUAGCCCGGCGAAAGUCGGAUUAAUGCUCUAUGUUCUUCUUUGAUGGCAUCUGACGAGAAGCAAAGGUUUACCGGUAUAGGAUGGGGGAUGCGUCUGAUUAGGUUGUUGGCGGGGUAACGGCCCACCAAGCCUACGAUCAGUAGGGGUUCUGAGAGGAAGGUCCCCCACAUUGGUACUGAGACACGGACCAAACUCCUACGGGAGGCAGCAGUGAGGAAUAUUGGUCAAUGGGCGAGAGCCUGAACCAGCCAAGUAGCGUGCAGGAUGACUGCCCUAUGGGUUGUAAACUGCUUUUAUGCGGGAAUAAAGUCAGGUACGUGUACCUGUUUGUAUGUACCGCAUGAAUAAGGACCGGCUAAUUCCGUGCCAGCCGCCGC